UAGAGUUUGAUCCUGGCUCAGGAUGAACGCUAGCUACAGGCUUAACACAUGCAAGUCGAGGGGCAGCAUCAUCAAAGCUUGCUUUGAUGGAUGGCGACCGGCGCACGGGUGAGUAACACGUAUCCAACCUGCCGACAACACUGGGAUAGCCUUUCGAAAGAAAGAUUAAUACCGGAUGGCAUAGUUUUCCCGCAUGGGAUAAUUAUUAAAGAAUUUCGGUUGUCGAUGGGGAUGCGUUCCAUUAGGCAGUUGGCGGGGUAACGGCCCACCAAACCAACGAUGGAUAGGGGUUCUGAGAGGAAGGUCCCCCACAUUGGAACUGAGACACGGUCCAAACUCCUACGGGAGGCAGCAGUGAGGAAUAUUGGUCAAUGGACGAGAGUCUGAACCAGCCAAGUAGCGUGAAGGAUGACUGCCCUAUGGGUUGUAAACUUCUUUUAUACGGGAAUAAAGUUAGCCACGUGUGGCUUUUUGUAUGUACCGUAUGAAUAAGGAUCGGCUAACUCCGUGCCAGCAGCCGCGGUAAUACGGAGGAUCCGAGCGUUAUCCGGAUUUAUUGGGUUUAAAGGGAGCGUAGGCGGGUUGUUAAGUCAGUUGUGAAAGUUUGCGGCUCAACCGUAAAAUUGCAGUUGAUACUGGCGACCUUGAGUGCAACAGAGGUAGGCGGAAUUCGUGGUGUAGCGGUGAAAUGCUUAGAUAUCACGAAGAACUCCGAUUGCGAAGGCAGCUUACUGGAUUGUAACUGACGCUGAUGCUCGAAAGUGUGGGUAUCAAACAGGAUUAGAUACCCUGGUAGUCCACACAGUAAACGAUGAAUACUCGCUGUUGGCGAUAUACAGUCAGCGGCCAAGCGAAAGCAUUAAGUAUUCCACCUGGGGAGUACGCCGGCAACGGUGAAACUCAAAGGAAUUGACGGGGGCCCGCACAAGCGGAGGAACAUGUGGUUUAAUUCGAUGAUACGCGAGGAACCUUACCCGGGCUUAAAUUGCAACUGACUGAACCGGAAACGGUUCUUUCUUCGGACAGUUGUGAAGGUGCUGCAUGGUUGUCGUCAGCUCGUGCCGUGAGGUGUCGGCUUAAGUGCCAUAACGAGCGCAACCCUUAUCGAUAGUUACUAGCAGGUCAUGCUGAGGACUCUAUUGAGACUGCCGUCGUAAGAUGUGAGGAAGGUGGGGAUGACGUCAAAUCAGCACGGCCCUUACGUCCGGGGCUACACACGUGUUACAAUGGGGGGUACAGAAGGCAGCUACACGGCGACGUGGUGCUAAUCCCGAAAGCCUCUCUCAGUUCGGAUUGGAGUCUGCAACCCGACUCCAUGAAGCUGGAUUCGCUAGUAAUCGCGCAUCAGCCACGGCGCGGUGAAUACGUUCCCGGGCCUUGCACACACCGCCCGUCA
This 1396-nucleotide ribosomal RNA is filed under the name uncultured bacterium. RNAcentral's name for it is "16S ribosomal RNA". It matches the Rfam family "Bacterial small subunit ribosomal RNA". The record is from RNAcentral.